Molecule: transfer RNA, 73 nt
Filed under: Bos taurus (domestic cattle)
Lineage: Eukaryota; Metazoa; Chordata; Mammalia; Artiodactyla; Bovidae
Also listed under: 2 other names
Rfam family: tRNA
About the family: Transfer RNA (tRNA) molecules are approximately 80 nucleotides in length. Their secondary structure includes four short double-helical elements and three loops (D, anti-codon, and T loops). Further hydrogen bonds mediate the characteristic L-shaped molecular structure. tRNAs have two regions of fundamental functional importance: the anti-codon, which is responsible for specific mRNA codon recognition, and the 3' end, to which the tRNAs corresponding amino acid is attached (by aminoacyl-tRNA synthetases). tRNAs cope with the degeneracy of the genetic code in two manners: having more than one tRNA (with a specific anti-codon) for a particular amino acid; and 'wobble' base-pairing, i.e. permitting non-standard base-pairing at the 3rd anti-codon position.
Source: Rfam by way of RNAcentral
UCCCUGGAAGUUCAGUGGUUAAAACUCUGCACUUCCAAUGCAGGGGGCAGGGGUUCAAUCCCCUGUCAGGGAA